GAUGAACGCUGGCGGCGUGCCUAAUACAUGCAAGUCGAGCGAACAGACGAGGAGCUUGCUCCUCUGACGUUAGCGGCGGACGGGUGAGUAACACGUGGAUAACCUACCUAUAAGACUGGGAUAACUUCGGGAAACCGGAGCUAAUACCGGAUAAUAUAUUGAACCGCAUGGUUCAAUUGUGAAAGACGGUUUUGCUGUCACUUAUAGAUGGAUCCGCGCCGCAUUAGCUAGUUGGUAAGGUAACGGCUUACCAAGGCAACGAUGCGUAGCCGACCUGAGAGGGUGAUCGGCCACACUGGAACCGAGACACGGUCCAGACUCCUACGGGAGGCAGCAGUAGGGAAUCUUCCGCAAUGGGCGAAAGCCUGACGGAGCAACGCCGCGUGAGUGAUGAAGGUCUUCGGAUCGUAAAACUCUGUUAUUAGGGAAGAACAAAUGUGUAAGUAACUAUGCACGUCUUGACGGUACCUAAUCAGAAAGCCACGGCUAACUACGUG
This 497-nucleotide ribosomal RNA is filed under the name uncultured bacterium. RNAcentral's name for it is "partial 16S ribosomal RNA". It matches the Rfam family "Bacterial small subunit ribosomal RNA", at positions 28 to 507 of the family's 1533-position model. The record is from RNAcentral.